Molecule: ribosomal RNA, 1145 nt
Filed under: uncultured bacterium
Lineage: Bacteria
Description: bacterial SSU rRNA
Rfam family: Bacterial small subunit ribosomal RNA
Source: RNAcentral
UGGGGGACUGGGCGGCAGCCUAACACAUGCAGUCGAGGGGUAACAGGGGGUGCUUGCACUCCGCUGACGACCGGCGCACGGGUGCGUAACGCGUAUACAAUCUGCCUUAUACUGGGGCAUAGCCUUUAGAAAUGAAGAUUAAUCCCCCAUAGUCUCUAGAUGUGGCAUCACAAUUAGAGUAAAGGUUACGGUAUAAGAUGAGUAUGCGUUCUAUUAGUUUGUUGGUGAGGUAACGGCUCACCAAGACUACGAUAGAUAGGGGCCUUGAGAGGGGGAUCCCCCACACUGGUACUGAGACACGGACCAGACUCCUACGGGAGGCAGCAGUGAGGAAUAUUGGACAAUGGAGGCAACUCUGAUCCAGCCAUGCCGCGUGCAGGAAGACUGCCCUAUGGGUUGUAAACUGCUUUUAUAUAGGAAGAAACCUUGGUACGUGUACCAAGCUGACGGUACUAUAAGAAUAAGGAUCGGCUAACUCCGUGCCAGCAGCCGCGGUAAUACGGAGGAUCCAAGCGUUAUCCGGAAUCAUUGGGUUUAAAGGGUCCGUAGGUGGAUAAUUAAGUCAGAGGUGAAAUCUUGCAGCUCAACUGUAAAAUUGCCUUUGAUACUGGUUGUCUUGAGUUAUUAUGAAGUAGUUAGAAUAUGUAGUGUAGCGGUGAAAUGCAUAGAUAUUACAUAGAAUACCAAUUGCGAAGGCAGAUUACUAAUAAUCAACUGACACUGAUGGACGAAAGCGUGGGUAGCGAACAGGAUUAGAUACCCUGGUAGUCCACGCCGUAAACGAUGGUUACUAGCUGUUUGGACCUUGUGUCUGAGUGGCUAAGCGAAAGUGAUAAGUAACCCACCUGGGGAGUACGUUCGCAAGAAUGAAACUCAAAGGAAUUGACGGGGGCCCGCACAAGCGGUGGAGCAUGUGGUUUAAUUCGAUGAUACGCGAGGAACCUUACCAGGCUUAAAUGUAAGUUGCAUUAGUUAGAGAUAGCUAUUUCUUCGGACUACUUACAAGGUGCUGCAUGGUUGUCGUCAGCUCGUGCCGCGAGGUGUCAGUUAAGUCCUAUACGAGCGCACCCCUGUUGUUUGCAUCGAGUCAUGUCGGGACUCUACAGGACUGCGUGCAACGCGAGGAGGUGGGGAUGACGUCAAUC